GGCACAUGAGCGAGAGGGGCGAGCGAGGAGCGGAGGCGGCGGUGGCGGCGGCAGCACCAACAGCGGCGCGGAGAGACGGCUCCAGGCAGUUUCCAGCCCCUUCCCUUCCCCUCCCCACCCCACCCCCUUCUCGCUGCUCUCCUCUCCCCGCCAAUGGAGAGCGAGCUGAUGACAAAUAGCGGGCCGCCGAGUCCGCGGGACUCGCGCUAGGAGUAAUAAAACAGACCGAGGGAUCAAGGAGCCGGGGAGGGGGCGAGGGGAGGGCGCGAGUGUGUGUGCGUCUGUGUGUGUGUGUGUGUGUGUGUGUGCGCGCGCGCGCAGGCGGCCGCGGGGGCAGCGCGGGCGGUUCUGCUCCGGCCCGGAGCGCAGCGGAAGCUCUGAGGGAUGCAGCGGCGGGGACCUUGGCCGGUGCGUGAUGCGGCGAUGGAAGUGGAGCGGGCGGUGCUCCCUGGGAGCUCCGCAACGACAGGUUUCGGGCUAGUGGUUUUGCUUCCUCCGGUCGUCUCUCAGCGGCCGCUGGGCGAGACGACGACGCAGAGGAGAGCGCCGCGGGGAGGGCGCUCCGGGCGCUGUGCGCUUUGCCCACAAAGGGCAGCGGUCCCGCCGACCCGCUUCUCCGCUGUGUUGGAGGCUGAGCUGAGGGCCGCUUCUCGGCUCCUUUUUUUUUUUUUUUUUUUUCUUUUAAUUAUUGCAAUGACACACUUUCAAUUUAUUUUAUGAUCACAAGUUUAAUCCUCCACUAACAAAGAAUUUAACAAAUAGUGAGUAGAACAAUCACCAUUUCUCAGGAGUAUAGAUAAGGGCUAUAAACAGUAAUCAAAUCUCAAGGUAUUAAUUUCAUUUGCAUACAUUAAAUUUUUGGGUAUGUUAUAUAUUAGUUACCACAGAUCAAAGGAAACAUAAUAUUUGUCUGUUUGGGACUGGCUUCUUUCACUAAGUUUAGUGGUCUCCAAUUCCAUCCAUUUUGUUGUGAAAUGGAAUACACAUUUGUUACAUAGACCAAAUGGCCAACCAGUUUAAGUAGUCUACUUUAUUUGAUAUAGAUUCAUUGGGUUUUUAUUAAUUAUCUGGUUUAAAUGGCAACCUGAGGUAGCCAUUUUAUUAGCAUUAAUUAAGCUUCAUGUAAACAAAGUAUUAUGAUUUCUAACAUGGCAAUGUGAACUUUCCACUAAAACUAUUAAUAGAACUUCAAAGUGUGUUCAAGUUUGUAGCUAACUAUUUCAAUGAUAUAAUACUUGAACCUUGUUUCAGUGGUCUAAUUGAAAACAAGACCUUCCUUUAAAAUGAUCAAAACUACUUUAAAGACUGAAUUCUUCAACAAAUGGCCCUCCUUUUUUUUUUUUUUCAUAAAAACACUUUCUCUGAGAGGAAAAUUUGUAUAAAGUGUUUUUGACAUCACAGACCUUUGUUGGCUUGAUUUUUCUUAACUUUUCUUAUUCUUCAUAUUGGGAUUACAAGUUAAUAUGAUAGCACAUAGUAGUGGAUGGAAAAAGGGGGAAAACUCAAGUCUACUAGAGCAUUUAUAAGCUAAAGUCAAGUACAACAAAUAUCAGAAUGAGUUUAAUGUAGGCAAAUGUGAUCAGCCACAGUGUAAGAAAAGCUUAAUUUAUUAUAUCCUUAGGGAGAAACAAAAUCUAAGUUUGGGCCGAUGUUGCGGCUCAAUAGGCUAAUCCUCUGCCUGUGGUGCCGGCACCCUGGGUUCUAAUCCCAGACGGGGCAC
Molecule: long non-coding RNA, 1720 nt
Organism: Oryctolagus cuniculus (rabbit)
Lineage: Eukaryota; Metazoa; Chordata; Mammalia; Lagomorpha; Leporidae
Source: Ensembl